Molecule: long non-coding RNA, 404 nt
Filed under: Elaeis guineensis (African oil palm)
Lineage: Eukaryota; Viridiplantae; Streptophyta; Magnoliopsida; Arecales; Arecaceae
Description: long non-coding RNA (EGUI_LNC030018)
Source: RNAcentral
AGAGCAAACACGUUGGGGGAUAUGACCAUUUGGAUAUCUAUUCCAGUCGAUUCUAAUUCCAAUUUCGCUCGCCAAUCAAGCAUGCCCUUAAAGUUUUUGCAUAUUAAUUGUAGAAAAUUUUAGUGAUCGGGAUGAAUUCUUUGAUUAGCUACAAAGAGGGUAUAUUCUAAUGAUUGCAAUUGUCUUCCUCCGAGGGUGUCUUUCCUGGAUCAUAUAAUCGUUAAGACAUUACCACCAGGCGAAGAACCAAGGGUUGGUUAUGUUUUGGCACAUGAAUCAUGACUCUAGUAUGAUAUCAUGUAUUCUGAAAUUUCUGAUUGGAUUCUUGCAUCACUAUAGUUAGCCAAUUAGUAAUGAUAUAACUUUACUCCGGUCGAAGUAUCAAGAUUUACCAUCGCUUACCA